GAUGAACGCUGACGGCGUGCCUAAUACAUGCAAGUCGAGCGAACGGACGAGAAGCUUGCUUCUCUGAUGUUAGCGGCGGACGGGUGAGUAACACGUGGAUAACCUACCUAUAAGACUGGGAUAACUUCGGGAAACCGGAGCUAAUACCGGAUAAUAUUUUGAACCGCAUGGUUCAAAAGUGAAAGACGGUCUUGCUGUCACUUAUAGAUGGAUCCGCGCUGCAUUAGCUAGUUGGUAAGGUAACGGCUUACCAAGGCAACGAUGCAUAGCUGACCUGAGAGGGUGAUCGGCCACACUGGAACUGAGACACGGUCCAGACUCCUACGGGAGGCAGCAGUAGGGAAUCUUCCGCAAUGGGCGAAAGCCUGACGGAGCAACGCCGCGUGAGUGAUGAAGGUCUUCGGAUCGUAAAACUCUGUUAUUAGGGAAGAACAUAUGUGUAAGUAACUGUGCACAUCUUGACGGUACCUAAUCAGAAAGCCACGGCUAACUACGU
RNAcentral lists this ribosomal RNA (496 nucleotides) under uncultured bacterium. RNAcentral describes it as "partial 16S ribosomal RNA". It matches the Rfam family "Bacterial small subunit ribosomal RNA", at positions 28 to 506 of the family's 1533-position model. The record is from RNAcentral.